UACAUAGGUCGCAAACGUUAUCCGGAAUUAUUGGGCGUAAAGGAUGCGUAGAUGGUUCAGUAAGUUACUGGUGGGAAAUCGAGGCCCAACCUCGUGGAAGUUAGUAAUACUGUUGAACUUGAGUGCAGGAGAGGUUAACGGAACUUCAUGUGGAGCGGUAAAAUGCGUAGAUAUAUGAAAGAACAUCAAUAUGGCGAAGGCAGUUAACUAUUCUGCUACUGACAUUGAGGCAUGAAAGCGUGGGGAGCAAAACGG
RNAcentral lists this ribosomal RNA (255 nucleotides) under uncultured bacterium. RNAcentral's name for it is "partial 16S ribosomal RNA". It matches the Rfam family "Bacterial small subunit ribosomal RNA", at positions 524 to 776 of the family's 1533-position model. The record is from RNAcentral.